This 480-nucleotide ribosomal RNA is filed under the name uncultured organism. RNAcentral describes it as "partial 16S ribosomal RNA". It matches the Rfam family "Bacterial small subunit ribosomal RNA", at positions 330 to 801 of the family's 1533-position model. The record is from RNAcentral.
CGUACACUCCUACGGGAGGCAGCAGUGGGGAAUAUUGCACAAUGGGCGCAAGCCUGAUGCAGCCAUGCCGCGUGUGUGAAGAAGGCCUUCGGGUUGUAAAGCACUUUCAGCGGGGAGGAAGGCGAUACGGUUAAUAACCGUGUUGAUUGACGUUACCCGCAGAAGAAGCACCGGCUAACUCCGUGCCAGCAGCCGCGGUAAUACGGAGGGUGCAAGCGUUAAUCGGAAUUACUGGGCGUAAAGCGCACGCAGGCGGUCUGUCAAGUCGGAUGUGAAAUCCCCGGGCUCAACCUGGGAACUGCAUUCGAAACUGGCAGGCUUGAGUCUUGUAGAGGGGGGUAGAAUUCCAGGUGUAGCGGUGAAAUGCGUAGAGAUCUGGAGGAAUACCGGUGGCGAAGGCGGCCCCCUGGACAAAGACUGACGCUCAGGUGCGAAAGCGUGGGGAGCAAACAGGAUUAGAUACCCCAGUAGUCCCAUGAU